This 253-nucleotide ribosomal RNA is filed under the name uncultured bacterium. Its description in RNAcentral is "partial 16S ribosomal RNA". It matches the Rfam family "Bacterial small subunit ribosomal RNA", at positions 524 to 776 of the family's 1533-position model. The record is from RNAcentral.
UACGUAGGGGGCAAGCGUUGUCCGGAUUUAUUGGGCGUAAAGAGCGUGUAGGCGGCCUGGUAGGUCAGCUGUGAAAACUCGAGGCUCAACCUCGAGACGCCGGUUGAAACCAUCAGGCUAGAGUCCGGAAGAGGAGAGUGGAAUUCCCGGUGUAGCGGUGAAAUGCGCAGAUAUCGGGAAGAACACCAGUGGCUAAGGCGGCUCUCUAGUACGGUACUGACGCUGAGACGCGAAAGCGUGGGGAGCGAACAGG